This 402-nucleotide long non-coding RNA is filed under the name Rhinopithecus bieti (black snub-nosed monkey). RNAcentral describes it as "lncRNA (ENSRBIG00000046127.1)". The record is from RNAcentral. Lineage: Eukaryota; Metazoa; Chordata; Mammalia; Primates; Cercopithecidae.
AACAAGAAAACUACCAAAAAGGCCAUUCAAAGAGUAUAACUCAACAUGUCAAAGAAAAGACAACAACUGCAGGCAUUAUGAGGGAACUAGGAGAGAUUAAAGAGAAAUCACUGUAGAAACAACUUUUCAGAUAACUGCAUCAUUCUUAGUACUCCCUGCUCCGAAAAUGGUUCAACUUGUCUGAAAAAUGAAGGGGUCAAAUAUGUGCACACAGCCACUUUGCCAAGUGUGGGAAAGAACCAGUGUCUGGAUUAGUUCCAAGCCAUCCAGACAGCUAUUUCAACUGGAACAAGUGACCUUUGGAACAGACUAGAACAUAACAGCCUGGCCAGACAGAGGGGAGGGAGUAGGCAGUUGGGAAGGACCCCAACAUGUUCUUCUGAAAGCUCAUUUGAAAUAAGA